UGAGGAAUCUUGCACAAUGGGCGAAAGCCUGAUGCAGCGACGCCGCGUGGGGGAUGAAGGCCCUAGGGUCGUAAACCCCUUUCAGCAGGGACGAAAAUGACGGUACCUGCAGAAGAAGCCCCGGCCAACUACGUGCCAGCAGCCGCGGUAAGACGUAGGGGGCGAGCGUUGUCCGGAUUUAUUGGGCGUAAAGGGCUCGUAGGCGGUUACGUAAGUCGGAUGUGAAAACUCCAGGCUCAACUUGGAGACGCCAUCCGAUACUGCGUUGACUUGAGUUCGGUAGAGGUGUGUGGAAUUCCUAGUGUAGCGGUGAAAUGCGCAGAUAUUAGGAGGAACACCUAUUGCGAAGGCAGCACUCUGGGCCGCAACUGACGCUGAGGAGCGAAAGCAUGGGUAGCAAACAGGAUUAGAUACCCCCGUAGUCC
RNAcentral lists this ribosomal RNA (425 nucleotides) under uncultured prokaryote. Its description in RNAcentral is "bacterial SSU rRNA". It matches the Rfam family "Bacterial small subunit ribosomal RNA", at positions 355 to 796 of the family's 1533-position model. The record is from RNAcentral.